Molecule: ribosomal RNA, 797 nt
Filed under: Wolbachia endosymbiont of Serritermes serrifer
Lineage: Bacteria; Pseudomonadati; Pseudomonadota; Alphaproteobacteria; Rickettsiales; Anaplasmataceae
Description: bacterial SSU rRNA
Rfam family: Bacterial small subunit ribosomal RNA
Source: RNAcentral
CUACCUAGUAGUACGGAAUAAUUGUUGGAAACGGCAACUAAUACCGUAUACGCCCUACGGGGGAAAAAUUUAUUGCUAUUAGAUGAGCCUAUAUUAGAUUAAUUAGUUGGUGAGGUAAAGGCUUACCAAGACAAUGAUCUAUAGCUGAUCUGAGAGGAUGAUCAGCCACACUGGAACUGAGAUACGGUCCAGACUCCUACGGGAGGCAGCAGUGGGGAAUAUUGGACAAUGGGCGAAAGCCUGAUCCAGCCAUGCCGCAUGAGUGAAGAAGGCCUUCGGGUUGUAAAGCUCUUUUAGUGAGGAAGAUAAUGACGGUACUCACAGAAGAAGUCCUGGCUAACUCCGUGCCAGCAGCCGCGGUAAUACGGAGAGGGCUAGCGUUAUUCGGAAUCAUUGGGCGUAAAGGGCGCGUAGGCGGGUUAGUAAGUUAAAAGUGAAAUCCCAAGGCUCAACCUUAGAACUGCUUUUAAAACUGCUAGUCUAGAGAUUGAAAGAGGAUAGAGGAAUUCCUAGUGUAGAGGUGAAAUUCGUAAAUAUUAGGAGGAACACCAGUGGCGAAGGCGUCUAUCUGGUUCAAAUCUGACGCUGAGGCGCGAAGGCGUGGGGAGCAAACAGGANUAGAUACCCUGGUAGUCCACGCUGUAAACGAUGAAUGUUAAAUAUGGGAAGUUUACUUUCUGUAUUAUAGCUAACGCGUUAAACAUUCCGCCUGGGGACUACGGUCGCAAGAUUAAAACUCAAAGGAAUUGACGGGGACCCGCACAAGCGGUGGAGCAUGGGGUUUAAUUCGAUGCAAC